CAUAAUAUUGUUGAACUUGGGCUUCAUUCCGACCUUGAAAACUCCCGGUUGGGAUAGCAGAUGGGCCACGCCGCCAAGCANUAAGAUAAGUUGGUGAAGUAACGGGUUCAACCAAGUUCUACGAUCUUAUAAGGGGGCCUGAAAAGGGGUUGAUCCCCCAAAACUUGGUUACUGAGACCACGGGACCAAGACUACCUUAACGGGGAGGGCAAGCAGUAGAGGAACUAUUUGGACCAAUGGGUAGAGAGCCUGAUACCAGGCCAUACCCGCGUAGAAGGACGAUAGCCUAUAGGGUUGUAAACUUACUUUUGUAUAGGGAUAAACCUACCCUACGUAGAGGGUAGCUAGAAGGUACUAUACGGAAUAAAGCACCCGGCUAACUACCGUAGCCAGCAGCCGCGGGUAAUACGGAGGGUAGCAAGCGUAAUACCGGCAUAUACAUGGGUUAUAAAAGGGUCCGGUAAGGCGGAUAUGAGUAAGUNAAAGUGGUUGGAAAUCUACACAAGUUUAACUUGGUGGAAAUUGGCCAUUGAUAACUAGCAAGGGUACUNGGAAGUAGUNAGUAGAGCAAACGUUAACGCCUUUGGGGGACAUUAAAGC
This 600-nucleotide ribosomal RNA is filed under the name uncultured bacterium. Its description in RNAcentral is "partial 16S ribosomal RNA". The record is from RNAcentral.